CCUACGGGAGGCAGCAGUAGGGAAUAUUGCUCAAUGGGGGAAACCCUGAAGCAGCAACGCCGCGUGGAGGAUGAAGGUUUUCGGAUUGUAAACUCCUUUUGUUAGAGAAGAUAAUGACGGUAUCUAACGAAUAAGCACCGGCUAACUCCGUGCCAGCAGCCGCGGUAAUACGGAGGGUGCAAGCGUUACUCGGAAUCACUGGGCGUAAAGAGGGCGUAGGCGGUAUAGCAAGUCAGAUGUGAAAUCCUAUGGCUUAACCAUAGAACUGCAUUUGAAACUGUUAUUCUAGAGUAUGGGAGAGGUAGGUGGAAUUCUUGGUGUAGGGGUAAAAUCCGUAGAGAUCAAGAGGAAUACUCAUUGCGAAGGCGACCUGCUAGAACAUAACUGACGCUGAUGCGCGAAAGCGUGGGGAGCAAACAGGAUUAGAUACCCCUGUAGUC
This 440-nucleotide ribosomal RNA is filed under the name uncultured bacterium. RNAcentral's name for it is "partial 16S ribosomal RNA". It matches the Rfam family "Bacterial small subunit ribosomal RNA", at positions 338 to 795 of the family's 1533-position model. The record is from RNAcentral.